Molecule: ribosomal RNA, 776 nt
Filed under: uncultured Neocallimastigales
Lineage: Eukaryota; Fungi; Neocallimastigomycota; Neocallimastigomycetes; Neocallimastigales
Description: partial large subunit ribosomal RNA
Rfam family: Eukaryotic large subunit ribosomal RNA
Source: RNAcentral
GAGAGAGACAUGCGCGCAUAUCAAUAAGCGGAGGAAAAGAAACUAACAAGGAUUCCCUUAGUAACGGCGAGUGAAGCGGGAAGAGCUCAAAUUUGGAAUCUUCAAGGUUCUACCUUGACGAAUUGUAGUUUAUAGAAGUGUUUUCUGUUAGUGGAGUGGCGAAAGUUCUUUGGAAUAGGACAUCAUAGAGGGUGAGAAUCCCGUAUUUGGUCAUUCCUCCUAGCGUUGUGAUACACUUUCAACGAGUCGGAUUGUUUGGGAAUGCAGUCCAAAAUGGGUGGUAAAUUUCAUCUAAAGCUAAAUAUUGGCGAGAGACCGAUAGCGAACAAGUACCGUGAGGGAAAGAUGAAAAGAACUUUGAAAAGAGAGUUAAACAGUACGUGAAAUUGUCAAAAGGGGAAGCGUUUGACACCAGUGUUGGUUUUCCGAAAAUCAAUUACGAAUGUUUUAGUUUUUAAGGAGUUAUGACUCCAUCGGCUUGCUCCUUUCUUUAUGAAACUUUCUUAAUGCACUUUUCGGUUAACAAGUCAACAUCAAUUUCUUUUGUUGUAAAAGGGUAUGAGGAAGGUGGCUUUCUUUUCGGAGAAAGUGUUUAUAGCCUUGUGCCUCUGCAAUCGGAGAGAUUGAGGUCUGCAGCGUAGAUCCUUCGGGGUUAGAUACAGUUUGUGCUAAGUUAUAGCUUUUCAUAGACAACUUGUUGACUAUGUUUAGUCUUGUAGCUUACUCGCUUAUGCUAUUUUACCUACGCUUAGGAUGUUGAUAGUCACAGCGUGUAC